GUCGGAGCGGUAGAGUUAGUGUCUACGCUGGGCUCAUAACCCAGAGACGGUUGGUGCAAAUCCUUCCUCCGACC
This 74-nucleotide transfer RNA is filed under the name bacterium. Its description in RNAcentral is "tRNA-Met". It matches the Rfam family "tRNA". Rfam says of the family: Transfer RNA (tRNA) molecules are approximately 80 nucleotides in length. Their secondary structure includes four short double-helical elements and three loops (D, anti-codon, and T loops). The record is from RNAcentral.